This 427-nucleotide ribosomal RNA is filed under the name uncultured bacterium. RNAcentral's name for it is "partial 16S ribosomal RNA". It matches the Rfam family "Bacterial small subunit ribosomal RNA", at positions 355 to 774 of the family's 1533-position model. The record is from RNAcentral.
UGGGGAAUAUUGCACAAUGGGCGCAAGCCUGAUGCAGCCAUGCCGCGUGUAUGAAGAAGGCCUUCGGGUUGUAAAGUACUUUCAGCGGGGAGGAAGGUGUUGUGGUUAAUAACCUCAGCAAUUGACGUUACCCGCAGAAGAAGCACCGGCUAACUCCGUGCCAGCAGCCGCGGUAAUACGGAGGGUGCAAGCGUUAAUCGGAAUUACUGGGCGUAAAGCGCACGCAGGCGGUCUGUCAAAUCGGAUGUGAAAUCCCCGGGCUCAACCUGGGAACUGCAUCCGAAACUGGCAGGCUUGAGUCUUGUAGAGGGGGGUAGAAUUCCAGGUGUAGCGGUGAAAUGCGUAGAGAUCUGGAGGAAUACCGGUGGCGAAGGCGGCCCCCUGGACAAAGACUGACGCUCAGGUGCGAAAGCGUGGGGAGCAAACA